Molecule: non-coding RNA, 739 nt
Organism: Camellia sinensis
Lineage: Eukaryota; Viridiplantae; Streptophyta; Magnoliopsida; Ericales; Theaceae
Source: RefSeq, a predicted model, not a curated record
UUUAGAUUUGUUUGCCUAUCAAGUCUUACCAAACCACUGCAGUUUACAUCAUAUGUCUGUAUGUCUGAACAAAGCUCUGAGAAAGAACAAAGCUCAAAGCUCAAUUGAAAGGAAGAACAAUGGCUCUAGGAUUGGGUUAAAAAAUAUAUGGAGCUCAAAAAGAUAAAUACAACUAGAUUGCUUCGAUGGGGAUGUAACAAGAUUAUCGUGCAUGCUCUUCACUGGAGAUAUAUACAAGUUGAUAUAAAGACUUUUUGAAAAGUGAUGAGGCGCUCCUAAGAAUUCUAUGAAAGAACAAGUUUGAAAAUCAUAUUUAUUUUUGUAAAAAUCAUACAUAUGCUAACUACGAUCCAGAUUUUGUAAAGUUUCCUAUCGAUGUGAAUUUUAUUACUUACAAUCGUUUUGUAAAGCCUUUUAUCUAUGUGAAAUUUAUUGGCUAUCGAUGUGUAUGUUAGAUAAUAUUCAUUUGAAUUAUUGGCUUAUGCUAUGAGUUCAUUUUUGUAAAUGUAACACACUAGGUGAUAUAGUCUUUUUUGUUUUUUUGUUUUUUCUUCCUAAUGUGCUCUUGAAUUAGGUUAAAGAAAACUAAUCAUAUUUUUAUUUGGUUGAAUUUGAUUUUUUGCUUCCAUAUAUUAUUUUUAUCACGAAGGGUGUUGCUUUUAUAUUAAGUUGAUAAUUUAUCUUCAUAUAGGAUUAGAUUGUGUGCGUAUUAAUCUAUUUAAAUAAUUGUUCAUUGCAU